GGGGCACCAGAAAGGGCUGAGCCAGGAGUGAGGUUAGGGGUCGGGCUAAGGACUGCCCAAAACAUGCUAAAAGGGCAACACAAAGUGAGAAAUGCGGCCAACCC
Molecule: long non-coding RNA, 104 nt
Organism: Sapajus apella (tufted capuchin)
Lineage: Eukaryota; Metazoa; Chordata; Mammalia; Primates; Cebidae
Exons: 3
Source: RefSeq, a predicted model, not a curated record